ACUCCUACGGGAGGCAGCAGUGGGGAAUAUUGCACAAUGGGGGAAACCCUGAUGCAGCCAUGCCGCGUGUGUGAAGAAGGCCUUGGGUUGUAAAGCACUUUCAGUAGGGAGGAAGGUAGUGUAGUUAACACCUGCAUUAUUUGACGUUACCUACAGAAGAAGCACCGGCUAACUCCGUGCCAGCAGCCGCGGUAAUACGGAGGGUGCGAGCGUUAAUCGGAAUUACUGUGCGUAAAGCGCAUGCAGGCGGCCUGUUAAGUCAGAUGUGAAAGCCCGGGGUCUUAACCUCGGAAUUGCAUUUGAAACUGGCAGGCUAGAGUCUUGUAGAGGGGUUAGAAUUUCGAGGUGUAGCGGUGAAAUGCGUAGAGAUCUGAAGGAAUACCGAGUGGCGAAGGCGGCCCCUGGACAAGACUGACGCUCAGAUGCGAAAGCGUGGGAGCAAACGAGGAUUAGAUACCCCGUGGUAGCGACUGA
This 474-nucleotide ribosomal RNA is filed under the name uncultured bacterium. Its description in RNAcentral is "bacterial SSU rRNA". It matches the Rfam family "Bacterial small subunit ribosomal RNA", at positions 335 to 803 of the family's 1533-position model. The record is from RNAcentral.